This 468-nucleotide ribosomal RNA is filed under the name uncultured bacterium. RNAcentral describes it as "partial 16S ribosomal RNA". It matches the Rfam family "Bacterial small subunit ribosomal RNA", at positions 28 to 507 of the family's 1533-position model. The record is from RNAcentral.
GACGAACGCUGGCGGCGUGCUUAACACAUGCAAGUCGAACGGAAAGGCCCUGCUUUUGUGGGGUGCUCGAGUGGCGAACGGGUGAGUAACACGUGAGUAACCUGUCCUUGACUUUGGGAUAACUUCAGGACACUGGGGCUAAUACCGGCUAGGAGCUCCUGCCGCAUGGUGGGGGUUGGAAAGUUUCGGCGGUUGGGGAUGGACUCGCGGCUUAUCAGCUUGUUGGUGGGGUAGUGGAUUACCAAGGCUGUGACGGGUUGCCGGGCUGCGAGGGUGGCCGGCCACAUUGGGACGGAGAUGCGGCCCGGACUCCUACGGGAGGCAGCGGUGGGGAAUAUUGCACAAUGGACGGAAGCCAGAUGCAGCACCGCCGCGUGCGGGAUGACAGCCAGCGGUUUGGAAACCGCUUUCGCCUGUGACGAGGCGUGAAUGACAGUAAUGGGUAAAUAAGCACCGGCUAACUACGUG